UAUCUACGCUAGGAAUGCCAAUUCAUCUCUGAUACUUUUAUCAAACUUAAAAGAAUUCUUCCUACAUUUCUUUGAUACGCAAGAUUUCUUUAGUAACUAGUGCUUUAGAAAACGUAUAAAGUACUUAGAAAAAGAAAGAAAAUUUGGAGCUUUGUAAAUUGCGAAGUACAAUUCGAAAUUUUCAUUUUCUUGUUUUUUAUAAAAUCAAUUUGUUCAGCUUCAGUAUGCAAUAACUUAACUAGAUAAGAAUUCUAUGUAAUGUAUUUAUUUUGUAUUUGUAAGCUAAAGCUUUGGAAAAGUUCAUUUAAAAUUAUCGUGUUAUCAGAUGUAGGAUCAACUUUUGUAAAUAUUCGAAGCAACAGCGAAUUUCACAGCAAAAUGCAACGUUAUCUAAAGAUAAGACUAGAGCUUAUACAUUGCGAGCCGCAAUAAAAUUCAGAAAUGAAAGGGAGCGACUGCGGCGAAAAAAAAGGUGCGUCACUUUAUCGUGGAAAAUGUCGACGCGAACGGAGGAAAAAACUAUUUUAUUCGAAAGGAAAGAAAUGAUCUCGCUAUCGCCCGAUCGCGUAUGCUGGAGCAUCGUGAUAAAGGGAGAACGAUUCUCGAAUGGGAAAAUCGAACAAAUCUGCUCCCACGAAGUGCUGGGAUAAAAGAGACGAUUUGCAAACUUGCUCUCGGAGUGACACAUACGGAGGCCCGAUUCCGUUCGGAAGGCAAACGCAAGCACGAAGUUAUCGUUUAUAAAGAUCCCACCUGACAGAGAAAGAGAGAGGGAGAGAGGAAGAAAGAGAGCCGCGACAAACUUUAUGAAUUAUGGAACGAUCCCGCAUCGGAAAAAUAAUAGACGUCGACGUCGUCGUUUCGUUUCGAUUCGAUUCAUUCGCCUUGUGCGUCAGGUAAGCGUUUCUAAUCUGGAUUCUAUUUCCAGGAUAGUUUCGAGCUCUACAUGUCCACCACAUGAAAGGUUCGUGAAGAGAGAACGCUCACGUUUCAACAUAAUAUGCGCGACUUGCAGUUUUACGAAGCAAAGAGCUUUCCGCCUCUCGCAUCUCGUGUUACCAGACCAAGGAUCUCUGGAAAUUCGGAACCUUGCGCGCGCGUUGCGGACCGACUAGUGACUCUUUAUUUACAAUGCAAAUAGCCGAAAAUGGAAAGUGACGUGGUGUAGCACGUACGUAACAGCGUUUCGCCGGGAAAUAGCACGUUAUUACGGGGCAAUUUCUCCAGUUUGGUCAAUUCGACAGUUUAUCUUUGAUCGCUUUAUUGCAUUCGCUCGGCGCGACGUGGGUUAGCGCUAAUGCAAACGGCUUUUUUUUUCAGACAGGUGUGCCCACCUGUUCCCAUUUCUCAUCUCUCACGCCCUACUCUAUCUCUGCUUCGUAGUUCUCUCUCUCUCUCUCUCUUUCUCUCUCUCUAUUGGAUAGGAGUAGCUAUGCUAAGCAGAUCGAUGUUACCAAGUACGAUCGAAUGGACCAUUAAAUCGUGCUGUGUUACUUGAAGUCACUACACUAACACUACGAUGAAAUUAACAGAAGCGACCACGACGAAAAGGGUACUAUCGACAAACUUGCUAAGCUUGCAGGGUCAAUAUAAUCUUCCUCUCUCGUAGGAUGUAUGUAUCCUUGUGCGCGUGUAUGUUUCAUAAACUUUCAAAUUUCGACUCUCCAAUUUGUUUGAUUAUGCCGGUAUAUUUUUUCUUCUCUAUGAGUAUUUGUUCCUAAAUAGGGACAUGACACUUGCAACUGGAAAAACCGGUUUUGCUAAGUAUUGAAAAAUUUCGCUAGAUACAGAUUCAAAAACAAUUAUUAAAAUUAGACCAUUAAAAUAAUAUAGAAACGCUCAAGCUGACUGGCAAAACUAAUCAAUUUUUCUGCAGCUUAUUACUCAUUUUAUGUUCAAAUGUUCUUCAUUAAUUAUUUUGAUGGUCAAUUAAAACUUUCAGAAUUUAAUUGAAUUUUUAGAUCUUUGACAAAACCAUAAUUUCUAUGUGGGUUUAUAUCUCCUAGCUAUGUCUAUUUGCAUCAAUCUUUUAUGAUUUGGAAAAGAUACGUAAAAUUACACAAGAAAUAUCAAAAUGGAUAAUUUUUCGUAAUUUUAUAGGUACUUAUUAUCCAACAUAUAUCUGUAUUAUGUCGUAUAAUACAUUGUAUUGUACUAUAUAUUUGUAUUGUAUAACAUUAUAUCGAUUAUUGCUUAUGUGUAUUGUAUAACACAAUGAAAUUGUAGGAUGUUUGAUUUACUUUAUUAAUUUAUUUUAUAAUAGUAGCCUAAAUUUGAUCGUGCUAGUAACAAUACUGACAACCGAGAUACACGAUAAGCUUAUCUAUAUAGAUUAUCUGUGAUAAGAAUUAUGGUAUAAGAGAAAGUAAUGUAUAUCAAAAACUCAGAUGUAACAAAAUGAUUAAACGGAGAAUGCGAGUAUUUGCACAAAGGGGCAUAUUUAAAUAAAAAGGACAAGAUAAUUUAUUUAAUUAUCAAUUUUAUAUUAUUGACAUUGAGACCGAUUCUUUAUCGAAUAAAAACAUCUGACUGGAAGUUGGUUUUUUAUAUUCUAAGAUUUUAUAGCCUUUCAUAUAUAUUAUUGCUUUUCUUCAGCACAUGUUUCUGUUGAAACAGAAUAGUUGCAUAAGAAAAAUCCUUCAUUUCUUUCAUUCUGUUUGAAACUUUUAUGCAUAAUAACAAUAAAAUAGAAAAAUAUGAAUUGCGUUCGAAUAUGUACGGCUAGCAGUGUAGUCUUAACAGGUUUUUUCUGUUAGAAUUUUUAAAUAA
This is a long non-coding RNA of Monomorium pharaonis (pharaoh ant), 2769 nucleotides long. RefSeq lists it as uncharacterized. The transcript is spliced from 2 exons. NCBI's taxonomy places the organism in Eukaryota, Metazoa, Arthropoda, Insecta, Hymenoptera, Formicidae. The record is from RefSeq and is a predicted model, not a curated record.